AACAGACUAUAUGCUGUGAGAAUUUUAAAAGCUAUCUCUAAUAGGCUUCAUGCAGUUUCUUGGUAUCAAUAAUGGUGCUGUGGAACUAGAUACAUCUAUUAUGGGUGUCCAGCAAGAAGGCAAGAAGAUAAAGGUUCCCCUUAAUUCAAGUGACAAGCUGUUCAAAGAGAUACGGGACCAGAACUUUGAAGUUGUUGUCCAGGUUCUACGUCAAAAAGCAACUUCUAUGAAGCAAGAUUACUCAGAGAUGUAGACUACGGCUAG
This is a long non-coding RNA of Nicotiana attenuata, 264 nucleotides long. RefSeq lists it as uncharacterized. Lineage: Eukaryota; Viridiplantae; Streptophyta; Magnoliopsida; Solanales; Solanaceae. The record is from RefSeq and is a predicted model, not a curated record. The transcript is spliced from 3 exons.